CAUGAAAUAUCCUUGUAAACAGUACAUGAAAUAUUGUGACAAAAUGUUACACCCUCCGCUACACAGAAGUGUUUGACUGGGCACAAAAUUUAAGAAGGACCGACUUUUGAAACUUGUGGUCUAAACAAGCAAUAGAUACUUGCAUAGCUAUAAACCAUCUCAUUAAGAGAAGGGGUUUAAAGUUGAAUAGUUUAAACAUAUAGAAAGGAGUCAUUCCUUUUGGACACAGAGAGGGUUAGAAAUCUGAAGAAGUAGACACACGAACUAAUAGAAGGGGGUUUGACAUCUACUAUACAUACAUAUAAAAUUACUUUAACCAGGUGUAAAUAGUAUAAUUUUCUGCUGCAUGGGAUUCCAAACCCCGACCACAAGGUGGCUCCACCCCUAUUUGGACACACUAAAAGGAAAGCAGAUCAUUGUCCCAUAAAUUACAACAGAUGGAGUAUCUAUUAUUGUUUUGGGAAAUGAUAUUUGAUGUUUUACUACAGAUGUUCUUGAUUUUAGAAGUUACUUAUGGGAGAAGAGGUUAGAACACCGGUUCAAAUAACAUUUUAGAC
Molecule: long non-coding RNA, 557 nt
Filed under: Solanum tuberosum (potato)
Lineage: Eukaryota; Viridiplantae; Streptophyta; Magnoliopsida; Solanales; Solanaceae
Description: long non-coding RNA (STUB_LNC008377)
Source: RNAcentral